This 497-nucleotide ribosomal RNA is filed under the name uncultured bacterium. Its description in RNAcentral is "partial 16S ribosomal RNA". It matches the Rfam family "Bacterial small subunit ribosomal RNA", at positions 28 to 507 of the family's 1533-position model. The record is from RNAcentral.
GACGAACGCUGGCGGCGUGCCUAAUACAUGCAAGUUGAGCGAUGAAGAUUGGUGCUUGCACCAAUUUGAAGAGCAGCGAACGGGUGAGUAACGCGUGGGGAAUCUGCCUUUGAGCGGGGGACAACAUUUGGAAACGAAUGCUAAUACCGCAUAACAACUUUAAACAUAAGUUUUAAGUUUGAAAGAUGCAAUUGCAUCACUCAAAGAUGAUCCCGCGUUGUAUUAGCUAGUUGGUGAGGUAAAGGCUCACCAAGGCGAUGAUACAUAGCCGACCUGAGAGGGUGAUCGGCCACAUUGGGACUGAGACACGGCCCAAACUCCUACGGGAGGCAGCAGUAGGGAAUCUUCGGCAAUGGACGAAAGUCUGACCGAGCAACGCCGCGUGAGUGGAGAAGGUUUUCGGAUCGUAAAACUCUGUUGAUAGAGAAGAACGUUGGUGAGAGUGGAAAGCUCAUCAAGUGACGGUAACUACCCAGAAAGGGACGGCUAACUACGUG